RNAcentral lists this ribosomal RNA (176 nucleotides) under uncultured Spirochaetaceae bacterium. RNAcentral's name for it is "partial 16S ribosomal RNA". It matches the Rfam family "Bacterial small subunit ribosomal RNA", at positions 1207 to 1382 of the family's 1533-position model. The record is from RNAcentral. Lineage: Bacteria; Pseudomonadati; Spirochaetota; Spirochaetia; Spirochaetales; Spirochaetaceae.
UCCAGGGCUACACACGUGCUACAAUGGGUGAUACAGAGUGACGCGAAGCCGCGAGGUGGAGCAAAUCGCAGAAAAUCAUCCGUAGUUCGGAUUGGAGUCUGAAACCCGACUCCAUGAAGGUGGAAUCGCUAGUAAUCGCGCAUCAGCAUGGCGCGGUGAAUACGUUCCCGGGCCUU